RNAcentral lists this ribosomal RNA (544 nucleotides) under uncultured fungus. RNAcentral describes it as "eukaryotic LSU rRNA". The stretch from base 197 to 350 matches the Rfam family "5.8S ribosomal RNA". The record is from RNAcentral. Lineage: Eukaryota; Fungi.
AAGUCGUAACAAGGUUUCCGUAGGUGAACCUGCGGAAGGAUCAUUAUCAAAAGUCAAGUCGGGGGCUGUAAAGCUCUCGUCUACACCCAUGUCUUUUGCGUACUCUUGUUUCCUCGGUGGCGCAAGCUGCCGAUUGGACAAACCAAAACCUUUUUUGUAAUUGCAAUCAGCGUCUGAAAAUAAUCUAAUUAUUUACAACUUUCAACAACGGAUCUCUUGGUUCUGGCAUCGAUGAAGAACGCAGCGAAAUGCGAUAAGUAGUGUGAAUUGCAGAAUUCAGUGAAUCAUCGAAUCUUUGAACGCACAUUGCGCCCCUUGGUAUUCCAUGGGGCAUGCCUGUUCGAGCGUCAUUUGUACCCUCAAGCUUUGCUUGGUGUUGGGGGUCUAGUCGUAUUACGACUCGCCUUAAAUUCAUUGGCAGCCGGCACUUUGGCCUAGGAGCGCAGCCCAUUUUGCGAUCGUAGCCCGUUGUACUGGCGUCCAUCAAGAACAUUUACCUCGUUUGACCUCGGAUCCAGGUAGGGACACCUGGUUGGAACGUUAA